CAAAGAUUUAUCGGCAAAGGAUGGGCCUGCGUCUGAUUAGCUAGUUGGUAAGGUAACGGCUUACCAAGGCGACGAUCAGUAGCCGACCUGAGAGGGUGAACGGCCACAUUGGAACUGAGACACGGUCCAAACUCCUACGGGAGGCAGCAGUGGGGAAUAUUGCACAAUGGGCGAAAGCCUGAUGCAGCAACGCCGCGUGAAGGAAGAAGGCCUUCGGGUCGUAAACUUCUGUCCUUGGGGAAGAAGAACUGACGGUACCCAAGGAGGAAGCCCCGGCUAACUACGUGCCAGCAGCCGCGGUAAUACGUAGGGGGCAAGCGUUAUCCGGAAUUAUUGGGCGUAAAGAGUACGUAGGUGGCAACCUAAGCGCAGGGUUUAAGGCAAUGGCUCAACCAUUGUUCGCCCUGCGAACUGGGAUGCUUGGGUGCAGGAGAGGAAAGCGGAAUUCCUAGUGUAGCGGUGAAAUGCGUAGAUAUUAGGAGGAACACCAGUGGCGAAGGCGGCUUUCUGGACUGUAACUGACACUGAGGUACGAAAGCGUGGGGAGCAAACAGGAUUAGAUACCCUGGUAGUCCACGCCGUAAACGAUGAGCACUAGGUGUCGGGGUCGCAAGACUUCG
This 620-nucleotide ribosomal RNA is filed under the name uncultured bacterium. RNAcentral describes it as "bacterial SSU rRNA". It matches the Rfam family "Bacterial small subunit ribosomal RNA", at positions 202 to 842 of the family's 1533-position model. The record is from RNAcentral.